This is a non-coding RNA of Microcebus murinus (gray mouse lemur), 173 nucleotides long. Lineage: Eukaryota; Metazoa; Chordata; Mammalia; Primates; Cheirogaleidae. The record is from RefSeq and is a predicted model, not a curated record.
UUUCGCGUGCGCCAUGUCUGGUUCCUCCAGCGUCGCCGCUAUGAAGAAAGUGGUUCAACAGCUCCGGAUGGAGGCCGGGCUCAACCGUGUUAAAGUUUCCCAGGCAGCUGCAGACUUGAAACAAUUCUGUCUGCAGAAUGCUCAACAUGAUCCUCUGCUGACUGGAGUAUCUU